UGCUGGAGGUAUCAGAAGUGCGAAUGCUGACAUAAGUAACGAUAAAGCGGGUGAAAAGCCCGCUCGCCGGAAGACCAAGGGUUCCUGUCCAACGUUAAUCGGGGCAGGGUGAGUCGACCCCUAAGGCGAGGCCGAAAGGCGUAGUCGAUGGGAAACGGGUUAAUAUUCCCGUACUUGGUGUUACUGCGAAGGGGGGACGGAGAAGGCUAUGUUGGCCGGGCGACGGUUGUCCCGGUUUAAGCGUGUAGGUGUGUGUUCCAGGUAAAUCCGGUUCACUUUAACACUGAGGCGUGACGACGAGGCACUACGGUGCUGAAGCAACAAAUGCCCUGCUUCCAGGAAAAGCCUCUAAGCAUCAGGUAACAUCAAAUCGUACCCCAAACCGACACAGGUGGUCAGGUAGAGAAUACCAAGGCGCUUGAGAGAACUCGGGUGAAGGAACUAGGCAAAAUGGUGCCGUAACUUCGGGAGAAGGCACGCUGACAUGUAGGUGAAGUGAUUUACUCAUGGAGCUGAAGUCAGUCGAAGAUACCAGCUGGCUGCAACUGUUUAUUAAAAACACAGCACUGUGCAAACACGAAAGUGGACGUAUACGGUGUGACGCCUGCCCGGUGCCGGAAGGUUAAUUGAUGGGGUCAGCGCAAGCGAAGCUCCUGAUCGAAGCCCCGGUAAACGGCGGCCGUAACUAUAACGGUCCUAAGGUAGCGAAAUUCCUUGUCGGGUAAGUUCCGACCUGCACGAAUGGCGUAAUGAUGGCCAGGCUGUCUCCACCCGAGACUCAGUGAAAUUGAACUCGCUGUGAAGAUGCAGUGUACCCGCGGCAAGACGGAAAGACCCCGUGAACCUUUACUAUAGCUUGACACUGAACAUUGAGCCUUGAUGUGUAGGAUAGGUGGGAGGCUUUGAAGUGUGGACGCCAGUCUGCAUGGAGCCGACCUUGAAAUACCACCCUUUAAUGUUUGAUGUUCUAACGUGGACCCGUAAUCCGGGUUGCGGACAGUGUCUGGUGGGUAGUUUGACUGGGGCGGUCUCCUCCUAAAGAGUAACGGAGGAGCACGAAGGUUGGCUAAUCCUGGUCGGACAUCAGGAGGUUAGUGCAAUGGCAUAAGCCAGCUUGACUGCGAGCGUGACGGCGCGAGCAGGUGCGAAAGCAGGUCAUAGUGAUCCGGUGGUUCUGAAUGGAAGGGCCAUCGCUCAACGGAUAAAAGGUACUCCGGGGAUAACAGGCUGAUACCGCCCAAGAGUUCAUAUCGACGGCGGUGUUUGGCACCUCGAUGUCGGCUCAUCACAUCCUGGGGCUGAAGUAGGUCCCAAGGGUAUGGCUGUUCGCCAUUUAAAGUGGUACGCGAGCUGGGUUUAGAACGUCGUGAGACAGUUCGGUCCCUAUCUGCCGUGGGCGCUGGAGAACUGAGGGGGGCUGCUCCUAGUACGAGAGGACCGGAGUGGACGCAUCACUGGUGUUCGGGUUGUCAUGCCAAUGGCACUGCCCGGUAGCUAAAUGCGGAAGAGAUAAGUGCUGAAAGCAUCUAAGCACGAAACUUGCCCCGAGAUGAGUUCUCCCUGAGACUUAAAGUCUCCUGAAGGAACGUUGAAGACGACGACGUUGAUAGGCCGGGUGUGUAAGCGCAGCGAUGCGUUGAGCUAACCGGUACUAAUGAACCGUGAGGCUUAACCUU
Molecule: ribosomal RNA, 1676 nt
Filed under: Salmonella enterica
Lineage: Bacteria; Pseudomonadati; Pseudomonadota; Gammaproteobacteria; Enterobacterales; Enterobacteriaceae
Also listed under: 148 other names
Description: partial 23S ribosomal RNA
Rfam family: Bacterial large subunit ribosomal RNA
Source: RNAcentral